AAGGUAUCCCUCCGGGUCAACAGCGUCUUCUUUUCUCAGGAAAGCAGCUGGAGGAUGACAAGACCUUGGUUGAUUAUCAAAUACAGGAUGAAGCUACGCUCCAUCUUGUUCUGCGCCUUGCAGCAGAGCCAGCCAGCAAAACGG
This 144-nucleotide non-coding RNA is filed under the name Ctenophora environmental sample. Lineage: Eukaryota; Metazoa; Ctenophora. The record is from RNAcentral.